Molecule: long non-coding RNA, 533 nt
Filed under: Cyanistes caeruleus (blue tit)
Lineage: Eukaryota; Metazoa; Chordata; Aves; Passeriformes; Paridae
Description: lncRNA (ENSCCEG00000018524.1)
Source: RNAcentral
GUUGUGGUCAUUGCUUCACUGAAUAUUCCACCCUGCUUCAGACAGUGGAGUCCAGCACAUUUUUUCAGUUAUUGAGGGUCUGCAAGCUACUGCUGCUGCUGCAAAUGAGCUGCUGCUCAUUUUUAAAGCUAUUUGCAUGUAAAGAGAGGGUGGCGGAAGGGGUGGACUUAGAAAUCCACCUACUCUCGUUGUUUACUCUUUGCAUAAAGUCAUAAUCCCUGAUGAAGUAAUCAGCAUUUCUGCAACAGCAUGUCAUUAAAGUUGCACAAAGGAAGUUGCACUUCAGGGAUUCUUAUCUGAAAGGAUUCCGAAGGCUGUUACCUGGUGGCUGACUUCAACGGGAACUGGAGACAGCCAGCAUGUCUCGCUAUCAGAACUACUUUCCCUGAAGACAACCAGUAAAAUUGCCAUUGUUUUCAGUGAAGCAGAAUGAUAACCUCAAUGAGAAAAAGGAAAUGAAUAUUGAAGAAACAAAGAUGCUUCUUUCAUGCAAAUUGCUUUACUAAUAAAUAAAAAAGGAGGAAUUAGAACCA